GCGGACGUUGGAGCCUCUCCGGCGGCUGACUCUCGAGGAGUAGGCCUCGGCAAGGAAUGGCGGGAGAGCGCUUGUGAGGCGCCGCGGGUAUUUUCUUAAACCUCCGUGCGGUUCUUAAAAGGAGCAACGAACGGACUGCGCGGCGAAAACCUGUGUACCGUGAUAGGUUUCUUUUAGAAGAGAGGAUGAGGCGAUCUAUAGUGUAGCUUUCCCCCCCCCCGGUUCCUUCUGUGGGGAGGUCUUUCUGACGUUCGCUCGCUUCGUUUUUAAAACCGCCGAAGGUGGUGUGACAGGUAGUUUUCGACUUAACGACAGUUCGCUUCGUGACCGUUCAAAUGUAACAGCGGCACUGAGAAUAAAUGACUUGACGACCGUUUUUUUCACGCUUAACGACCGUUGCGGCGUUUCCCCACGGUCACGUGAUCAAAUCCAGAGGCUUAGCGACUGACUCCUAUUUUAUGACCAUUGCUGUGUUCCGGGAUCAUCUGAGCCCCUUUUGCCACCUUUGGGACAAGCAAUGGCUGGAAGAUUGGCUUAAGAAGCAGGUUGCUAACUCAACAGCCUCAGUGAUUCACUUAACAACUGGCAAGAAAGGUCGUAAAAUGGGGCGAAACUCAUUUAAAAACUGUCUUGCUUAGCAACAGAAAUUUUGGAGCUUAAUUAGUGGUACAGGGGAGAAAAAAGAGCCGUGAAGUGUGCUAUCCCAAUAAUUUGUUGGAUGGAAGUGGACAAGUCACAGAUCAGACAAAGCAUGUAUUUUAAAAAUGGAUCACACGAGGAUCAUGUGUAUGUUGUUCGUUCCUUUCUUGUUAUCACAUCCAUAGCAUGACAUCAAUCUUCUAAGAUUUUUACAGUGCACCUCUUAAGAUAAAAUCUAAUACAGCAAUAGGCAACAUGAUGCCUGCCUUCCAGGUGCUUAGAGUUCAGUUUCCAUUUCCUGCAACGAGUCAUUUCUCUGAUUAAUGACAUACCAAUGCAUCACAAAAAUGUAGAUUGAACUAUGAUUCCACAUGUUCACAUGCACCACCAAUCCCCCCUUUUUUGACAAAGAAAAGAUGACCAAAAUUAAUUCAAGAUAAAUUAAUAAUUUGGAUAAUGAAGUACAGCAUGACCUAUUAUCAAAUAAAAAGACAUUAUUUUUUCAAAAUAUCUCUAAAAAUAUACAGCUACUUUCCACAUUACUGGAACUAUUAAAUUUGCAAAUACUGGAAUAUUUAAUUUUUAAUUCAAUGGAGAUUAACAUUUUAAGUCACUGAAAUGUAAUACAUAUAUUACAUAAAUGAAUAAAUAUAAAUAUCAACUAUUAUAACUUAAUCUUGUAAGAUGACAGCUGUUUUCAAAUUCUCUCUUGAAAUUCUAUAGAUAAAACGAAACUACUCUUGACAAAUAGCAAUGGUGAUUGAACAGAAUUUGGCCACUUCCUCAAAGUCAUUACUGAAGUGUCACAAGAUAAGAUUGGCAGCUGCUUUGCUAUGAUUGGUUAUUAAGUUUUUAUGCAAAUUUGAAUAAAAGGAGCAAUUAAGAAAGUUGUGUAUUACUUUCCUGCAAAGGAUAUGAAGUUAGCUGACGUGCAGUUGAAUCUCCCUCUUGAAAGAGUUGAAAGUAAGACCCUGAAUCUCACUAAUGUAAAGAUUCUUUUGUGUACUGGUUGUAAAACAGAAAGGCAUUUAAUCACAAAAAAAAAACCAGUCUCCCUAGUAUGUCUGAAUUACAGAAUUUUUUGUAAUAAAGCCUACAUCCUUUUGUAAGUCUGGCUCAAAAACUUUUUUUUAAUCUGAAUUUUUUUUCAUAGCCAACUGAAUUCAGAUAUUUAAUGAAAAGUCUGCAGUUUUAAAUUAAACUUAGCCAAGAGGAAACCAAGUUACUUUGCUGGAUCAUAGCAGCAGCAAGACAUUCAUAGCACCAGUGAGACAUUCAUUGAAAAUGAAUUUGAACCAUUAUUUCAAAUGGCAUAAUUAUAACUGCACUCUAAUAAGGUUUGGCUUAAUUCAACUCUUCACAAAGCUGUGGGCACACAAAGUAUAGUUCAUGGAAAGUUGGCUGAGAUAAUUGCUGAUGUAUGCACCCUAGAGCAAAUAGCUUACUAUUUUAAGCCAGAAGAUAUUGGUCCGGCCACUAUUGCAGGUAGAAAAUCAAAGUAAAGCAUUUUUCACAAAUUGACUUACAUGGGUGCAGCUUUAAUGUGUUUGGCCAAGGAUGUUGAGUCUUGAAUGGGUAGCGUUUUAUUUAAUCUUGAGGGAAAUUGGGACAACUGGCUGUCUCUAUUGAUUGUUAUUCAAAUCUUUGGCCUUUUCAAUAUAAAUGAGUAAGGAAGAUUCUGUUCUAUGUUCCCCUUUUCCCCUUUUGAGUUGUUCGCCGCCCUAAGUCCCUCCUGGAGAAGGGCGGCAUACAAAUAAUAAAAUUCAAUUCAAAAAAGAUGGUUACAAUAUUUUCAUACGACUGACAGUAUAAAGGUAUGCUGAAGGAAACAUUUGAAAAGUUCCCCACGAACUAUUUUCUUCGCAAGUGUAGUUGGAGAACCUGCUCAUAACUUGUUGAGUGAAGUCCAUGAGCAUAUUUUGGUUUCUUUAUGGGAAUCAAACUAUGUUUAUGGCACUUUGCAGAAUCUUGUGUUCACAUGAUUGUGUUUUACAACAGUUUUGCUAAAAAUGGACAUUUACUUCCAGUUUUCAGCAAAACCAGCCCAUAGGGAACCAUUGAUUGACUUAACAACCGCAACAUUUUCUUAAUGAUAGCUGCAAAAAAGAUAAGAUCAGGUUGGUUAUGACUAUCGUUAGCCUAGCGGAUGCUACCCUUGCUUGUAACUGGUGGAACUUUGAAUUUAUAGUAGGCAAUACUCGCAUUAUAAUAAGUGACAAGGCAUUAUAAUGAUUGAUAUCUUCAAAAAUGAAUCCCAACAACUUGUUCAGUAACAAUAGUUUAAUUAUUUAAUUAAAUUUAUUUAAUUAACCUAAAACUAUACAUCUCAAGAUUGGAUAUUGAUAUACAUGACAGAAAUAAUUGGCUAUUAUUUAGUCUUGUUCUUCUCAUAUUGACAUAAUGGCCUCAUAUUAAUUAGAAACCAUACCUAUAUUCAUAUUGUUAUAAAACUAAAUGCACUUUUGAUUAAUCAGUUGUACACUAUAGUUUGCACGUUCAUUUCCAAGACUGAUUUCAGAUACAAUAAUAGUUUUAUAAAUAUAUGAAUUAGCACAUAAUUAUGUGAACCCAAGCAAGGCAAUGUUAUUUGUUACUAGCAGCUUCUUUUGAUCAGUUUUUAAAUAAUGGCUUGACUGUGUUGUAGAUUUAUUGUAUGUAUGUAUAUAUAUAUAUCCAUCCUAUAUAUAAUAUAUAUAAUGGAUUGAGAUUGGUCUAAUAAGACUUUGAUUAUAUACUGAGGCUGCUAUGAGACAACAUCAGACUUUUACAUAUGAAGGGCUUGUACCUAAUUAUCGGUUAUACUCCAUACUACCAAUAUGGUAAGUCUGAUAUUUGUUGGUACCAGGUAUCUAUACGCAAACAAGGUGAUGAUCAUAUCUAAUAUGCCUUCCUCUUCCUCCCAUUUUCCCCACAACCACCACUCCCUGAGAAGAGUUGGACUGAAAGUGAUUGGUCCAAAGUCACUCAGGCUUUCAUGCCUAUGGUGAGAGCAGAACUCAACAAUCUCCAGAUUUCUAGUCUGGUGUCUUAACCAGUUAUAAUUAUUGUGGACAGAACACAAACAAUUUAAACAGCUUACUUAUACAAAGUCUGAAUUAUUCUUUAAGGCCAUUGUCUUCCCACAGCUCAUUAGGCAUUAAUAUUUGGAAUUCGUACUUAACUAAGAUAUUUUUUCUUGCAGUUUUAGAAACUUUUUUUUUCAGUUUUCAGAUAAUAUUUUAAAAAACCCACUAAUCAUAGAUUUGGUUAAUCCUAAGAAAAAUUGACUUACAUAUUCCUCAAAAUUGAAUAGCAUUUUUCUAGUCUAUUAUACAUAAUUGGAGUUUAAUCUGUCAUUGGAAUACAUUUUACAAUUCUUUGCCUAUGUAAAUAUUUUGCUUCUUUUUUAACAGCACUGUUCGAAUAAUAAAUUACUUUUACCACUAACCAUUACUAGUGGAGCUAUUAUAACAGUAUCUCAUUUGUAAAUUUGUUUAUCAUUUGCUUUAGAUAGCAAUCGUGCUGCACUUUAUCUUUUCUAAAUUGGAUUUAAAAAAUCUUAAAUAUGCUAGCGAAGGCACUUUUUAUUCUUUUAGUUGAUCUCUGACCUUUCUCUGAUCUCAAAAUCCACUUUGGAACUUAGAUCUUUUUGAGUUCCAAAGGCUUUUAAAAAUGCAGCUGGGUCUAUGGAUAAGGAAAGAGAAUCCACUCCUUCACUUCCAUUAGCAGAAAUUGCUUCUAUUGACAGAAGUAUAGUGUAGACUUGUUGUCUACACACACACACACACACACACACAAAAUUAUCAAUUAAACUACGGGACUGCAUGUGAUUCUUUUGAGUAUACAUGUACAAACAUUUAUCUCACAUACCAGGCUCCUUGCCUCAUUUUUUUUUUAGAUUUAAAAUACUGGAAUCAAUUUCAGAAGAAUCAUAGUUGUCAAAAGAUGCAUAUGGGUCAGAGGGAGAUGCAGGAUAGACGUUAUUUUAUUGUGAUAUAUUUUAUAAGCAGUUAGGACAGACUGGCCUACAGCUGUUCCAGACGUCUGCAUGGAUCACAAAGUGCCAGUAUGACUUCCACAAUUACAAUCAUAAUUUCUCAGCAGCAAUUUCCAUGAGGAUUUCAAUGACGUAUUAUCAUUAUUCAAGCAAAUGUACACAAACUGCUUUCACGGAGCCUAUUGCUGUCUUAUGUUCUCUGAACAUAUUUAAAUAUUUCAAAAUAGUCUGGGUAUCAUCUCUACUGGUGUGACUACAGCCCUUUGAGUUCAUAAAGAUUUGCCACACUGCCAACAAGGCUCUUCUGCAUCAAAAGCAAUUACCUGGACCCAACCUUAGAAGAAAUUUCAAGUUUUAUAUUCAAUGAAGAGCAGCGAGGGUUCCAUUGGGCUUUAUGGCCAUUUCCGCUGACACACCUGAACAAUUCAUGCCUAAUAUUUAUUGCACAGUAACAUUCUUCAUUUCUUGGUUAAUACAAUUAGCGUGUAUUCUAACAAUGGAAUUUCAAGACUGGACAGAGCCACUUUAGUUAAAUAAGUUUUCCAGAUUUUUUUUUAAAGCUCUAUAUUAUAGUACAUUAUAUACACAUGAAUAUACUACUGUGGCUCCAAAAGGAACUAUAAUACUUUUAUAGAGUUAUAUGGCUACUUUUAAAAAUACAUUUUAAAAAUAUUUUCAAAUUAAGAUAGUAAGCAAUGAAAUGUACUGUCCAUAAAUUGUAAGAAUGAUCUUAUCAAGUAAAGAAAUUGUUCUCUGAACAAAUAGACACAUAUUCAUUAUUGGUUAUGGCAAUUUACAAUGACAUUCAUCUAAUGUAGAACAAGUACCAGAUACUGUAGUUAUGCUGCUUCUAAUUGGGGAGGCUCUCAUUUUAAAAACUGAGAAUGGUGCAGCAAUAUAGCUUGUGGCAUUCAUUCACACAAAGCUUCCAAAUGAAAAUUCUUCCUCUUGGAGAAUUCACCAUGAAUUAUAAGACAUUUACAUCAGCACAUUUUACAACAUCAAUUUCAGUGAAUUAUUUUCAUAUAAAAUAUUAUAAAUCUACAAACAAUGAUUCAGUGAUACUUCAUUGGUUUUGAACAGGAAUACUUAUCAGAAGCCUCAUCAUCAUCAAACCUUCUUCCCAAAACAAAACAUAUCUUCCCACCAGAUAUUACAUUUGAUUCCAUAACUUUCCAGCCAGCCUGGUGAAUUUAUUAUUUGGCAGAUUAUAGAAUCCAAACUCCCAACACACCCAGAGGACAUAGGACAAAGUUUCAUCUCUCUGAUUUGAAACGUGUGUGUGUGUAUGUGUACAGAUCUGCAUUCAUAUAAAAUUAGAAAAGAUGAAAUAACUUUCAAAAACAGGUACGAUUUAACAGAUGCUGUCAUGUGCUGUCGCAAGAAGAAUGCAUAGGACAUUUCUGCAGCUGUCGAAAAUAGUAAACCAUUCUGAUUUAACCUCAGAGUUCAAGUUGGAAGCAUUUCUAGUUCCAGGUUCUAGAAGCAAUCCAUUCAAGUUUUGCUCUGGGUUUCCCUUCUUUUACAGAAGUUGUUUUGCAAAUUUAAUUAUUACACAUCAUUCUUCUGACACAGUAUAAACUCUUUCAGUGCCUGAUAAUCCUCCAACAGUAUUUAGAAGUUCUUUUUCCACAAUAUUGACAAAAUAUUGUG
Non-coding RNA from Thamnophis sirtalis, 6268 nucleotides. Lineage: Eukaryota; Metazoa; Chordata; Lepidosauria; Squamata; Natricidae. The record is from RefSeq and is a predicted model, not a curated record.